This 619-nucleotide ribosomal RNA is filed under the name Paludicella sp. AW-2011. Its description in RNAcentral is "partial 12S ribosomal RNA". The record is from RNAcentral. Lineage: Eukaryota; Metazoa; Bryozoa; Gymnolaemata; Ctenostomatida; Paludicellidae.
UGCCAGCANHMGCGGUUACACGGUCACUUUAAGUUUAACGUUUAGGUUAUGUGGUUAGAUUAAGUUAUGGAAAAGACAAUUAGAGGAAGUUGCGGUGCAAUGUUGUUUCUUUAAUUUUUUCAUUUUUUCUUUAGAAUUAGUUGAUGCCAUGAAAAUCGAUUGUAGGACUAGGAUUAGAUACCCUAUUACUAUCGAUUGUAAAUUUGUUAUACCAGGGAAUUACGAACUGUUUGUUUAAAACCUAAAGAACUUGGCGGCCUUUUAUAGUUCCAGGGGAGCUUGUCCUGUAAGCGAUAAUCCCCGUUAAUUUUUGCCUUUUUUUGAAUAAUCAGCUUGUAUACCUCCGUCGUCAGUUAACCUUAGUAGAAGUAUAAAAGUUAGCGAGAAUUGGGUUUUAAGCCUAGACGUCAGGUCAAGGUGCAGCUAAUAAGAAGGAAGAGAUGAGCUACGUUACUAAUAUGUAUGGUGUAAGUUAUUGGAUUUUUUGUUGAAAAAUGAGAAUGAAAUAGUACUUGGAAGUAAAGCGGGUUUAAUAAGCCGGUAAUUGAAUAAUACCUAGAAGGUGCACAAAUCGCCCGUCGGUCCCGUCGUUUUAGAUGGGAAAAGUCGUAACAHAGUA